Molecule: ribosomal RNA, 513 nt
Filed under: uncultured bacterium
Lineage: Bacteria
Description: bacterial SSU rRNA
Rfam family: Bacterial small subunit ribosomal RNA
Source: RNAcentral
GAUCCUGGCUCAGGAUGAACGCUAGCUACAGGCUUAACACAUGCAAGUCGAGGGGCAGCAUGAUCAAAGCUUGCUUGAUGAUGGCGACCGGCGCACGGGUGAGUAACGCGUAUCCAACCUUCCCUAUAGUAGUGGAUAGCCCGGCGAAAGUCGGAUUAAUACACUAUAUUAUUCAACGAGGACAUCUGAAAUGAAUCAAAGGCUUGCCGCUAUAGGAUGGGGAUGCGUCUGAUUAGAUAGUAGGCGGGGUAACGGCCCACCUAGUCGACGAUCAGUAGGGGUUCUGAGAGGAAGGUCCCCCACAUUGGAACUGAGACACGGUCCAAACUCCUACGGGAGGCAGCAGUGAGGAAUAUUGGUCAAUGGACGGGAGUCUGAACCAGCCAAGUAGCCGUGCAGGAUGACGGCCCUAUGGGUUGUAAACUGCUUUUAUACGGGGAUAAAGUGAGCCACGUGUGGCUUUUUGUAGGUACCGUAUGAAUAAGGACCGGCUAAUUCCGUGCCAGCCGCCGC